AAUAGAUACCCGGGUAGUCCACGCCGUAAACGAUGAGUGCUAAGUGUUAGAGGGUUUCCGCCCUUUAGUGCUGAAGUUAACGCAUUAAGCACUCCGCCUGGGGAGUACGGCCGCAAGGCUGAAACUCAAAGGAAUUGACGGGGGCCCGCACAAGCGGUGGAGCAUGUGGUUUAAUUCGAAGCAACGCGAAGAACCUUACCAGGUCUUGACAUCCUCUGACAACCCUAGAGAUAGGGCUUCUCCGUUCGGGAGCAGAGUGACAGGUGGUGCAUGGUUGUCGUCAGCUCGUGUCGUGAGAUGUUGGGUUAAGUCCCGCAACGAGCGCAACCCUUGAUCUUAGUUGCCAUCAUUCAGUUGGGCACUCUAAGGUGACUGCCGGUGACAAACCGGAGGAAGGUGGGGAUGACGUCAAAUCAUCAUGCCCCUUAUGACCUGGGCUACACACGUGCUACAAUGGACGGUACAAAGAGCUGCAAGACCGCGAGGUGGAGCUAAUCUCAUAAAACCCGUUCUCAGUCCGGA
RNAcentral lists this ribosomal RNA (522 nucleotides) under uncultured bacterium. RNAcentral's name for it is "bacterial SSU rRNA". It matches the Rfam family "Bacterial small subunit ribosomal RNA", at positions 777 to 1297 of the family's 1533-position model. The record is from RNAcentral.